This 324-nucleotide ribosomal RNA is filed under the name uncultured eukaryote. Its description in RNAcentral is "partial 18S ribosomal RNA". It matches the Rfam family "Eukaryotic small subunit ribosomal RNA", at positions 1470 to 1796 of the family's 1831-position model. The record is from RNAcentral.
CCCUUAGAUGUUCUGGGCUGCACGCGCGCUACACUGAAGCUAUCAACACGUUUUCCCUCCCUGAGAAGGGCGGGUAACCUUUUGAAUCAGCUUCGUGGUAGGGAUCGGGGCUUGCAAUUGUUCCCCGUGAACCAGGAAUUCCUAGUAGACGCGAGUCAUAAGCUCGCAUCGAUUAAGUCCCUGCCCUUUGUACACACCGCCCGUCGCUACUACCGAUUGAACGUUUUAGUGAGGCAUUUGGACCGACGCAUCUCAGUUUAACCGCUGGUUUGUGUUGGAAAGACUUCCAAACUUGAGCGUUUAGAGGAAGUAAGAGUCGUAACA